UGCCCCAUGGCUGAGUUGGUUACAGCGUCCGACUGUUAAGAGCAAUCGGAAGGUCGAGAGUUCGAGCCUCUCUGGGGCAG
Molecule: non-coding RNA, 80 nt
Organism: Armillaria novae-zelandiae
Lineage: Eukaryota; Fungi; Basidiomycota; Agaricomycetes; Agaricales; Physalacriaceae
Source: the annotation of a GenBank genome assembly